RNAcentral lists this long non-coding RNA (339 nucleotides) under Zonotrichia albicollis (white-throated sparrow). RNAcentral's name for it is "lncRNA (ENSZALG00000000371.1)". Lineage: Eukaryota; Metazoa; Chordata; Aves; Passeriformes; Passerellidae. The record is from RNAcentral.
ACUACAGGGCAAACUGUAGAGAGUUGCUCUCUAAUUGACAUUGAAUCCCAAGCUCUGUGUAUUCUGUGUAUUCUUUCAGUAGAGAUCCUUGAGGAAGCUGUGGUGCCUACUACAGGAGAUGGCAACCCCAUGUGAAGGCUGCUGCUUGGUCCCAGGAGCCGUAUGGCUGCUGGCAGCGAGACGUGGAAUCCAGGCAUGCUGCUGACACAGAUGCUGAAACAUGCCAAUGGAAACAAAGCACAGUUCUGACUCAGAACACCUUUUCUCCUGACCUGCAUAUCUGCUACCUUUGACUUGGUCAUUAUGGUCAAGAUUUUUCUGCUUGUAAUGAACAAUUGU